UGGAGGAGAAUUGGUGGUGUAAAUGAGUAAGGGGAUUGGUGGGUUUGGUUGUUUGAGACCCUAAAGAAUGAUGAGGGGGGAUAGGAGGGACUUGGGAACACAUAGACGUCCCUAGGCGUUGACAUCCAAUGAACUAUCCAGAUAUGGGUUGGUGCCAUCAGGAACAUUGAGACAGGUAAGGCAGGGCUGUGGUCAGCUCGUGUCGUGAUAUGUUGGGUUAAGUCCCGUAACGAGCGCAACCCUUGUCCUUAGUUACCAGCACGUAAUGGUGGGCACUAUAAGGAUACUGCCGGUGACAAACCGGAGGAAGGUGGGGAUGAAGUCAAGUCAUCAUGGCCCUUACGGCCUGGGCUACACACGUGCUACAAUGGUCGGUACAGAGGGUUGCCAAGCCGCGAGGUGGAGCUAAUCCCACAAAACCGAUCGUAGUCCGGAUCGCAGUCUGCAACUCGACUGCGUGAAGUCGGAAUCGCUAGUAAUCGCGAAUCAG
This 490-nucleotide ribosomal RNA is filed under the name uncultured bacterium. RNAcentral describes it as "bacterial SSU rRNA". It matches the Rfam family "Bacterial small subunit ribosomal RNA", at positions 930 to 1352 of the family's 1533-position model. The record is from RNAcentral.